RNAcentral lists this ribosomal RNA (253 nucleotides) under uncultured bacterium. RNAcentral describes it as "partial 16S ribosomal RNA". It matches the Rfam family "Bacterial small subunit ribosomal RNA", at positions 524 to 776 of the family's 1533-position model. The record is from RNAcentral.
UACGGAGGAUCCGAGCGUUAUCCGGAUUUAUUGGGUUUAAAGGGAGCGUAGGCGGGUUGUUAAGUCAGUUGUGAAAGUUUGCGGCUCAACCGUAAAAUUGCAGUUGAUACUGGCAUCCUUGAGUACAGGAGAGGCAAGCGGAAUUCCUAGUGUAGCGGUGAAAUGCAUAGAUAUUAGGAGGAACACCAGUGGCGAAGGCGGCUUGCUGGACUGAAACUGACGCUGAGGCUCGAAAGCGUGGGGAGCAAACAGG